Molecule: long non-coding RNA, 1053 nt
Filed under: Heterocephalus glaber (naked mole-rat)
Lineage: Eukaryota; Metazoa; Chordata; Mammalia; Rodentia; Bathyergidae
Description: lncRNA (ENSHGLG00000038433.1)
Source: RNAcentral
AUUUCUCUAAGGCAUGCUCCCUGGAGUAAAGUAGCUGGUGUGAUUAAUCUUCUUCCAUUCACCCUUCCCAAGGCCACCCUCCACCCUCUGCUAUCCUGUCCUGGGCCUUGACAGGCUGAAUUUUCUGGACUAAUCAGGCCCCCUUGCUUUCUGCUUCCUGUUGUGUUUGCCCAAUGAAGAGGACCAAAGCUCUGGAUCAUGCCUCCCGGUCUCAGUGACCAGGCUGAGAAGGAAGAGAACAUCUCCUAGGACCAGUGUGGUCUAUGAAGCCCAAGACUGCUGGACAACAUCUGGGGACAGCCUCACAGUUCACACCGACAUGUGAAAUGUUCACACUAACGAAAAGUCAGGAGAGACGCUUGGGGAGACACAAGAAGAAAAGGCAGAUUCCACCAAAGCCUUCAUAUGCAUCCUCUCAUAAAUCUUCAGACAGGAGAUGCCAUGGCUGGAUUCCUCUCGGUUGCAUGAAAGGUUUUGAGCAGGACAGACAUUAGAAGCUGAUCUUGCUCCUGGACCUGCCACUCAAGCACUCGUGAGAUUAAAUGGUAUCAGAUGAUGAAACCACGUGAUGGAAAAAGGAAGAGGGACCGCAAGAGGCACACCUAUUUCUUAAAAUCCCAGGCCAGAAGUGGCACACCCUACUCGCAUUCCAUGCUCUUGCCAGAUUGUGAGCUCCUUCAGGCCAAGGGCCUCACUCCUUUCAUGGCUAUGUACCCAGCACCUGGCAGCAGUGAUGAGGACCAUUGGAUGAGCAAAUAACCUGAGUCAGGACCAGCUCAGCAACUGGGUGGCUGAUUCAGCUGGCAGGAGGUCUUCCCUGCAAACAGCUGAGCCAGACCGGAGAAGACAGAAAUGCCACCGCAGGUCACAGAAGGGAUCUACACAGAAGAAAAGAAAAGACAAGGAGAAUGAUUUGGCGCCACUGAGAGCUUUGCAUCUUCAUCUUCAUGGUACUUCUCAGGCCAGAGAUUACUCAGUCUCUGAGACCUCUGAAACACCUAUUCUUCACAGCGAACACAUGUAGUCCAUCCCAUGUACCAACAGAUAUUCACA